CAUCAUUCCACCCUGUUGGUGGAGGCUGCCUGGCCCCGCCCUGUAAAAGGAAGUGGAAGCCUUCACUUCCUGUUUGACAGUCUGACCUUUCACCUGAGCUGGUUUGGAUGGAGGAAGCACAUGGAGCCAACAUUUGGAAGCUCAUAACCUCCUCCAUUUACCUCCUGAGAAGCCAGGGAGGGACACGGCCCCCUCACCCACUCUCUGCAGCACGACUAGCUCUUCUCUCCAGUUCGUAGCUCAGGCAGGACUUUGACCCAGGAACUCCACCAUUAGCAUCUUCUGGUCAAAGACAGUUCCUCCACACCAUCUGGCCUGCUCCCCUCUCAUCUCUCUUCUCUUAGUACUUUUCAGCUUCUCACUUUGAACCCUGAACUCCUAAAAUACCGACUCUGAGAUUCUUCUCAACAAAUCUGCUCCUAAAUGGUUCCUGAUAAGAAGAUGAACCCAGACUUUCUAGAAUCUCCACCCUACAGUCUAUCAUGUUGAGCUACUGGUUCACACUGGUUAAACUCUUUGAAAUGUUGUUCAAAGUUACCUCAAAUUGAUUAGUUUUGGUUUUUAAAAACAUCGACCUUCUCCGUCUGGAUCCCAUGACCUCCAUGUGGCUGACCUCUGAGGAAACACCGUGAGCUAUCCAACCAGACACUUUGUUAUUGUAUCCUAAAGCCUUUCAGUCAUGACCUCUGACCUAUUGGCUCAAUCUGAUGGAUGGAUCUGACAGCAGCUGGUUUAUCAACUAAUGUGAAUUUUUUUGUCAACUUUACUAACUAAUGUCAAGUUGAGUUCCAUUGAUAAAAUAAUAGAAAAAUGUCUAAAGCUGUUGAACUAUUUCAACAUCAUUCAUGCUAAAGAUGUAUUAAUAUAAGCUCUUUGGUCAAUUGAGGACUUGAACUAGGACACUAGGAGGUCUCAGUACUUUAGUCUAUCACACUGAGCUGUCAGCUCCUUCAGGUUUGCUGUCUUUUUUUGGACUUUUAUCUUUUUAUUUCCACAGUUGGACUGAAGUUAAUGUCACCACAGACUUUGAUCUUUGCUGUCUGAGCUUUAUUCCCUCCCUUCCUCCCCUUCUAUUAUGUUCUCACACAUUGAAAUCAUGCUGGGGUUUGGUUAUCUGCUGGCUUUCAGCUCAACAGUGUUUGGCUCCAGCUGGAAGACAUGGUUGAACUUUCUGAAGGUAAAUGUGAAUUUGUAUCCAGUAACAGAUCAUUUCUAUAUCCGCCGGCCAAGGAAUCAUUUUAUGUGUGUUUACUGUAACCUUCUGUUUUUAUUUGCUUUUAUUCAUGCUGUCGUUUUUUACAGCUCUUACUUUUAGAGCAGUGGGUGGAAAUUUGUUGCUGUUGUGUUAUUUGACUUGUUUUAUUUUUAGUCUAAAUAUUUGAAUAAAAACACAUCAUGAAAAAUGAA
Girardinichthys multiradiatus is the source of this 1407-nucleotide long non-coding RNA. RefSeq lists it as uncharacterized. The transcript has 2 exons. The record is from RefSeq and is a predicted model, not a curated record. NCBI's taxonomy places the organism in Eukaryota, Metazoa, Chordata, Actinopteri, Cyprinodontiformes, Goodeidae.